UACGUAGGGACCGAGCGUUGUCCGGAAUCAUUGGGCGUAAAGAGCGUGUAGGCGGCUCGCUAAGUCUUGCGUGAAAUCUCGGGGCUCAACCCCGAGCGGUCGUGAGAAAGUGGCGGGCUAGAGUGCGGGAGAGGAGAGUGGAAUUCCUGGUGUAGCGGUGAAAUGCGCAGAUAUCAGGAGGAACACCGGUGGCGAAGGCGGGUCUCUGGGCCGAUACUGACGCUGAGGAGCGAAAGCGUGGGGAGCGAACAGG
RNAcentral lists this ribosomal RNA (253 nucleotides) under uncultured bacterium. RNAcentral's name for it is "partial 16S ribosomal RNA". It matches the Rfam family "Bacterial small subunit ribosomal RNA", at positions 524 to 776 of the family's 1533-position model. The record is from RNAcentral.